Gasterosteus aculeatus aculeatus (three-spined stickleback) is the source of this 1760-nucleotide long non-coding RNA. The record is from Ensembl. Lineage: Eukaryota; Metazoa; Chordata; Actinopteri; Perciformes; Gasterosteidae.
CACAGGAAACAGGAAAUCGCGCGAGAGACAAAUGGAGGAAGCCACCGGGGCGAGAGGCGGCAGCGGCAGCGGCUGUGACGCGUCACAGCUGCCGCGGUCGCUCUGAGAGAAUGACAGAGGGAGCGCGGGGCGCUUUGCGUGGCUUCGCCUGGCAGGCUCAGCGUCCCAAUUAGCUCCCCGUAAACAAAGGAGGAAGUUUUGCCGCGGCGCUCGCGCUCUCCUUCCUCACCUCCCCGCCACCCUCACAUCUUCACCGCCACCUCCACCAGCGCAGCCCAGCGAGAGCUUCCUCUCCCCCCUUUUUUCUGCUAGCAGAUAAGAGGCGUUCAGAAGUGGCGCAGCCCCCGCUCUGAUAGCGCGAGGUGUCACCAAUGAAAGGCAGCGUCCCCGCUGAAUACGCUCGCGUGGAUGAAAGUGACAGGCAGCUGCUAAGAGGCCUUUCUGACCCACCGCUGAACACGGCCGGAUCUUCAGCAGCGAAGGUUCCAGUUAACCACGGACUCCUCUCUCCAUGUCGACUGAUUGCAUCAUCGGCUCGCCGCUGGCGUGAAAGUGGCUGAGUGAGAAAGUACAGGAUGUCUUUAUUGCUGUGGAGAGGGAAACCUUCUCCAACCGUCUCCACCUGCACUUAUCACUCGCUGAGCAGAAAAUUCACUGAAAGUUCCCUGUCUAACUGGCGUGCAUUCCUGUUGGAGAAAUCAUAAACUAAGUAAAUACAUCCAUUUGAUUUUUUUAAAGGGAAUAAUUAAAUUACAUUGGUACCAAUAAUUUAACACCCAGCAAAAUGCAUGCAUUCCUUUGUGGUUGAAUUUUCGCGGUUUCUUUCAUAGGCCUUCUAAACCUGCCUUCCACUGACCUAAAGAAGGAGGAAUGUCUCGGAACCAUCAGCAGAUCAUUUUCCUCACCGGCCAACCUCACGCGCCUUUCUUAAUUUGAUUGGCAUGUUCUAUUUAUUACCAUGCAACUGGGAUUUUAUCCGCUAUUUGCUUCCAGAUCAGCCUAUACGGAGAGGGAAGAGAGGCUCCCCUGUGGUAGUGGUGAUGUCACCAGUGCAGAGUAAAUACCCAAAGUGCAUCAUGUUAAAGUGGAAGAAAUGGAAAGGAUGUUUGUUUGGUGUGAAGAGGCGCGACGCUCAAACCGGCCACUCAUCAGGAGAAACUAGACUUACAAAUCUGCUCACAAAAAAACACUAAAAGCCAACUUUGGUUUUGAAGGCCAGUUAGGUGUACUUUUUUAGAGUGCUGAUUAUUUUUAAUGACACAAAUCACGGGGUGACAUUUUCAGAUAUGUCAUUUUUUUAAAUUUCAAUCACAACCUCUCUUUGGGGUUGACUGAUGAAUCACAGCAACCUUUUCUCCCUCCGAAUUCAUUUGUAUCUCUUUGGAGUAAGAGCCUUGCUGCAGCUGUCUGUGCCGUGUGAGGGUGGGGGGGGGGCAGAAGCUGGGGGAGAACAGCUCGAAAAUGGCUUCUCUCGGUGGCAGCGUAUCACCAUCUAAAUCUCUCCCCCCACAUCGGGGGAGCAGAGCUGUGACUACUGGGAUUAGGCUAAUCACACAUUCACCCAGGAGGCUGCACACACAGGAGAUCCUGCGUAAGGCAUGACCUUAUUUCAGACGGGUUUCUAUAGACGCUCUUUUGCUGGCAUCUCGAAGCCAAUGCUUAUGCUGAGAUUUACUUAUUGGGGCUGCGCUUUAUUCCAGUUUGUCCCUUUACGCUGCAUUUUACACUUCAUUGACACGCAAACAUCCUUUUAUGAGCCG